Molecule: transfer RNA, 72 nt
Filed under: Diaphorina citri (Asian citrus psyllid)
Lineage: Eukaryota; Metazoa; Arthropoda; Insecta; Hemiptera; Psyllidae
Rfam family: tRNA
About the family: Transfer RNA (tRNA) molecules are approximately 80 nucleotides in length. Their secondary structure includes four short double-helical elements and three loops (D, anti-codon, and T loops).
Source: Rfam by way of RNAcentral
GCCUAGGUGGCGUAGUGGUCAAGACGCUCGCCUGGUAAGCAGGAGGGUAUGGGUUCAAACCCAGCCGAGGUA